Long non-coding RNA from Trifolium pratense (red clover), 715 nucleotides. RefSeq lists it as uncharacterized. The record is from RefSeq and is a predicted model, not a curated record. The transcript is spliced from 3 exons. NCBI's taxonomy places the organism in Eukaryota, Viridiplantae, Streptophyta, Magnoliopsida, Fabales, Fabaceae.
UUUAGAUUUUGUUUCUCUCUCUUGUUGAAGUUUCUUAACCUUCCCUUUGAAAACCCUAGCCGCCGCUAUCAUUCCGGCCGUCGCCCCCUCCGUCCAGUAAACUUUGACAAAAUAAAAUACAUAUUUUUUAUGCUCUCUUUUUCCUCUAUAUUUAUAUUAAAGUGUAUUUUAAAAAGGAACAAUCUUGAAAAUUAGUGGAUGUACAUUUUUCAACCUUCAACUGUUCACCUAUGAUGAAGCCAUGAACAACUCUCUCUACAGACCAACAACAAAGGAAUCAAAGACAUCAAAAGAAUAAAAAAAAUCAUAUCUAGUUUAAAUCUGUAUUUUUUUUGCAUCUUUGUGAGGUUCACACCAGAGCUCCGCCACAAAAGCUCCACUCCGGUCAACUUUGAACUCAUUCAUAUGACAUUCAUCAUUACUACCAUACCUUGCACCUCUACUGUGCAUUACUACCAUACCUGACUAAUCACAUGUCAUCAAAGAACAGUUGUAUGCUCAUUGAGACCCACAAAAUAAAAAAGUUCAUUGCAUCUCAUAUACCAAUGUAACCCAUAUCUCACUUUCAUUCUCCGUUUAUUUAUUUGCUCGUUGCUGAAGAGAUGAAGAUAAAAAAAUGGAGAAACAAAAAAAGUUAGAUGAUAAAGUGACAUGAUAUUAUUUAUGAAGAAAUUGCAUAAAAGCUAAAUGUGGAAGUUUUUUUUUUUCAUACCUU